GGCUCGGUGAGGCCUUCGGACUGGCCCAGGGAGGUCGGCAACGACCACCCAGGGCCGGAAAGUUGGUCAAACCCGGUCAUUUAGAGGAAGUAAAAGUCGUAACAAGGUCUCCGUAGGUGAACCUGCGGAGGG
RNAcentral lists this ribosomal RNA (132 nucleotides) under Cladosporium sp. MA 4762. RNAcentral describes it as "partial 18S ribosomal RNA". It matches the Rfam family "Eukaryotic small subunit ribosomal RNA", at positions 1695 to 1824 of the family's 1831-position model. Lineage: Eukaryota; Fungi; Ascomycota; Dothideomycetes; Cladosporiales; Cladosporiaceae. The record is from RNAcentral.